This 69-nucleotide transfer RNA is filed under the name Gomphiocephalus hodgsoni. Its description in RNAcentral is "tRNA-Ser". The record is from RNAcentral. Lineage: Eukaryota; Metazoa; Arthropoda; Collembola; Poduromorpha; Hypogastruridae.
UGAAAGAAGUAGAUCAUAUUUAAGCUGCUAACUCUAAAUUUUAGCGGUUAAACUCCGUUAUUCUUUCUA